GACGAACGCUGGCGGCGUGCUUAACGCAUGCAAGUCGAACGGAAAGGCCUGCUUUCCCUUGUGGAUUGCGGGUACUCGAGUGGCGAACGGGUGAGUAACACGUGAGUGAUCUGCCCCCAACUUGGGUAUAAGCCUGGGAAACUGGGUCUAAUUCCCGAUAGGACUGCAGGGUGGUGCCUGUGGUGGAAAACGAUUUUCUAGUGGUUGGGGAUGAGCUCGCGGCCUAUCAGCUUGUUGGAGGGGUAAUGGCCUACCAAGGCGGCGACGGGUAGCCGGCCUGAGAGGGUGGACGGCCACAUUGGGACUGAGAUACGGCCCAGACUCCUACGGGAGGCAGCAGUGGGGAAUAUUGCACAAUGGGCGGAAGCCUGAUGCAGCGACGCCGCGUGGGGGAUGACGGCCUUCGGGUUGUAAACUCCUUUCGACCGCGAGGAAGCCACCUGGUUGGAAGGGUGGUGACGGUAGUGGUAGAAGAAGCACCGGCUAACUACGUG
Molecule: ribosomal RNA, 494 nt
Filed under: uncultured bacterium
Lineage: Bacteria
Description: partial 16S ribosomal RNA
Rfam family: Bacterial small subunit ribosomal RNA
Source: RNAcentral